Vigna unguiculata (cowpea) is the source of this 107-nucleotide small nucleolar RNA. The record is from RefSeq and is a predicted model, not a curated record. Lineage: Eukaryota; Viridiplantae; Streptophyta; Magnoliopsida; Fabales; Fabaceae.
AAUCCAUGGUUUGGACAUUUUUUGAGAAGAGAUUUCUAUCUCUCCCAUGCUUCACAAAAGGUCUCAUCUAUUCCUUGUGAAAAUGUUGCAAUAGUUGACUUGGCACC